UGGGGAAUAUUGGACAAUGGGCGCAAGCCUGAUCCAGCCAUGCCGCGUGAGUGAUGAAGGCCCUAGGGUUGUAAAGCCCUUUCACCGGUGAAGAUAAUGACGGUAACCGGAGAAGAAGCCCCGGCUAACUUCGUGCCAGCAGCCGCGGUAAUACGAAGGGGGCUAGCGUUGUUCGGAUUUACUGGGCGUAAAGCGCACGUAGGCGGACUAUUAAGUCAGGGGUGAAAUCCCGGGGCUCAACCCCGGAACUGCCUUUGAUACUGGUAGUCUUGAGUUCGAGAGAGGUGAGUGGAAUUCCGAGUGUAGAGGUGAAAUUCGUAGAUAUUCGGAGGAACACCAGUGGCGAAGGCGGCUCACUGGACCAUUACUGACGCUGAGGUGCGAAAGCGUGGGGAGCAAACAGG
This 404-nucleotide ribosomal RNA is filed under the name Actinomycetes bacterium. RNAcentral describes it as "Actinobacteria bacterium partial 16S ribosomal RNA". It matches the Rfam family "Bacterial small subunit ribosomal RNA", at positions 355 to 776 of the family's 1533-position model. Lineage: Bacteria; Bacillati; Actinomycetota; Actinomycetes. The record is from RNAcentral.